GAUGAACGCUGGCGGCGUGCCUAAUACAUGCAAGUCGAGCGAACAGACGAGGAGCUUGCUCCUCUGACGUUAGCGGCGGACGGGUGAGUAACACGUGGAUAACCUACCUAUAAGACUGGGAUAACUUCGGGAGACCGGAGCUAAUACCGGAUAAUAUAUUGAACCGCAUGGUUCAAUAGUGAAAGACGGUUUUGCUGUCACUUAUAGAUUGAUCCGCGCCGCAUUAGCUAGUUGGUAAGGUAAAGGCUUACCAAGGCAACGAUGCGUAGCCGACCUGAGCGGGUGAUCGGCCACACUGGAAGUGAGACACGGUCCAGACUCCUACGGGAGGCAGCAGUAGGGAAUCUUACGCAAGGGGCGAGAGCCUGACGGAGCAACGCCGCGGGAGUGAUGAAGGUCUUCGGAUCGGAAAACUAUGUUAGUAGGGAAGAAGAAAUGUGUAAGUAACUGGGCACGUCUUGACGGUACCGAAUGAGAAAGCCACGGCUAACUACGUG
RNAcentral lists this ribosomal RNA (497 nucleotides) under uncultured bacterium. RNAcentral's name for it is "partial 16S ribosomal RNA". It matches the Rfam family "Bacterial small subunit ribosomal RNA", at positions 28 to 507 of the family's 1533-position model. The record is from RNAcentral.